RNAcentral lists this ribosomal RNA (1221 nucleotides) under metagenome. Its description in RNAcentral is "SSU rRNA". It matches the Rfam family "Eukaryotic small subunit ribosomal RNA", at positions 558 to 1800 of the family's 1831-position model. The record is from RNAcentral.
AGUCUGGUGCCAGCAGCCGCGGUAAUUCCAGCUCCAAUAGCGUAUAUUAAAGUUGUUGCAGUUAAAAAGCUCGUAGUUGGAUUUCUGGUAUGGUGCGCCUGGCCCACGGUUGCAAAACCGCGAGUGUCGGUGUGCGCCUGCCAUCUUUCUAGUUAACUGGACGCACUUAACUGGGCGGUCAGCGAUCUAGUUCUUUUACUUUGAAAAAAUUAGAGUGUUUAAAGCAGGCUUGCGCUAUGAAUACAUUAGCAUGGAAUAAUAAUUUAGGACUUUACGCCUAUUUUAUUGGUUUCUAGGAGUGAAGUAAUGAUUGAUAGGGAUAGUUGGGGGUGCUAGUAUUCAUCGGCCAGAGGUGAAAUUCUUGGAUUCGAUGAAGACUAACUAAUGCGAAAGCAUUCACCAAGGAUGUCUUCUUUAAUCAAGAACGAAAGUUGGGGGAUCGAAGACGAUCAGAUACCGUCGUAGUCUCAACCAUAAACUAUACCGACUAGGGAUAAGGGGAAGUUGCUUUUUCGACUUCCUUUGCACCUUAUGAGAAAUCAGAAGUCUUUGGGUUCUGGGGGGAGUAUGGUCGCAAGGCUGAAACUUAAAGGAAUUGACGGAAGGGCACCACCAGGAGUGGAGCCUGCGGCUUAAUUUGACCCAACACGGGGAAACUUACCAGGUCCGGACAUAGUGAGGAUUGACAGAUUGAAGUUCUUUCUUGAUUCUAUGGGUGGUGGUGCAUGACCGUUCUUAGUUGGUGGAGUGAUUUGUCUGCUUAAUUGCGUUAACGAACGAGACCUCGACCUACUAAAUAGUACAGCGUAAGCUUUGCUUAUGCGUGCACUUCUUAGAGCACUGUUGGUUCAAAGCCAAAGGAAGUUCGAGGCAAUAACAGGUCUGUGAUGCCCUUAGAUGUUCUGGGCCGCACGCGCGCUACACUGAUACGUGCAUCGAGCUUACAACCUUGGCUGGGAGGCCUGGGUAAUCUUUUCAAAGCGUAUCGUGCUGGGGAUAGAUUAUUGUAAUUAUUAAUCUUCAACGAGGAAUUCCUAGUAAGCGCGAGUCAUCAACUCGCACUGAUUACGUCCCUGCCCUUUGUACACACCGCCCGUCGCUGCUACCGAUUGAAUGCAUUAGUGAGCCUCGAGGAUCGUCUUUUCUGAGGGUAAAACUUCGGUCUAGAUGAGAAUCGCUGCAAACUUGCGCAUUUAGAGGAAGCAAAAGUCGUAACAAGGU